UCGUAUUAACAGAGGUGCCGGGGCUGUCGCUAACUUUUGUGCACGCCUCGGUGCUCUCUCACAAUCCAUAUCACCCCCUUUUGUGCAUCACCGCGUGGGUGUUCUCCUUUUGGUUCAUUCUGAAAAGGGGGCAUUCGCGCUUUUACACAGACCCACCGCAUGUGUAGAAUGUCUUAAUAUUUGCGAUAAUACGCAAUCAAUA
RNAcentral lists this unclassified non-coding RNA (202 nucleotides) under uncultured Russula. RNAcentral describes it as "sequence contains ITS1". Lineage: Eukaryota; Fungi; Basidiomycota; Agaricomycetes; Russulales; Russulaceae. The record is from RNAcentral.